UCCUGCAACGUGGCAACUCUGGCAGGACCCUUUAAAGGGGGGGCUUUAGCCCCGGUUCCUCGGACCGGGACUAAAGGGUGGGCCUUUAGUCCCGGAAGGGCAGCACCGGCUCGGGAACCGGGGCAACAGGCCCUUCCCGACCGGUGCUAAUGCCCCAACAUGCAGCAGUGUGGAGAAUCUUGUGGAUUUUCCGAGAAUGCUAGGCAGCAUUGACUACAUGCAUUGGCAAUGGGAAAAUUGCCCAACAACAUGGAAGGGGCAAUAUAGCAUUGGUCGCUAUGGAGUUCGAACCAUUAUCCUUGAAGCAGUGCCAUCAUAUGACCUUCGCAUUUGGCAUGCAUUCUUUGGUGUUGCUAGGUCGAAUAAUGACAUCAAUAUGCUCAACCGGUGUCCUCUAUUUAUGGAAGCGAUUAAACGUAAAGCUCCCUGAGUCUAGAUCUCUUUGAAGAGGAGGCAAUAUAUAACACUGGACAUUAUCUUCUUGUUGGAAUUAUCCUGAAUGCGUAGCUCUAGUGAAGUCUAUGAAGGUCCCCCAACCAGAGAAGCAUAAGUUGUAUGCAAGUGAGCAAGAAGCAAGGAAAGAUGUGGAGCGUGCAUUUGGGGUGCUGCAAGAUCGCUUCAACAUUGCUUCAACAUUGUGUGUCGCCCAACGAGAUCAUGGAGCCUCAAUAUCAUUAUAAGAAUCAUAAAAGCUUGUGUUAUUCUCCAAACGUCCUAUUGACUUGAAUGAUGUCUCUUCCACCAGAAGUACAAACGGGCAGUAACAAUCACCCUUGCUUUGCUGAUGUAGAAAUUGCGCUAUCCAUUCUCAAACAAUCCAUACCCAACUAAAAGAUGACUUAAGUGAGCAUAUUUGGCAAUGGGUUUAAAAACAGAAAGAAUAAUUAGUCAUUGUUCAUAUCACAUUUUCAUGUAAGCUGUAGCAUCAUAUUCAUUUUAAAUGCUUGGUUACAUUAUUGAUCACCCUCAUUCACAAUUUGGAUCUAUUUCUUUCUGGGGAAUGUUGGCUGUUUGGCGACCAAGACUGCGACAAACAAUUAACUUCAGUGUUUCUUGGUCAACCAUUGCAGCUAGUGCUUCUCUAUGUUUUUUGUCCGGGAUGAAAGAUGCAUGGAUGCAAUCAUUCGGCAAAAGUAAGGCUAGUGGGCCCAUUCAGCAGGUUGGCAUGUUCUCCCAUUCUUCGAUUAGAUCGGACAAUUUCAUUGUUAUACUUUAUCUGAGCAAGUAGGUGUAACCACAACCAAUCACGACUGCGUCUGUAGGUGUGUAUAACCACAACCAGUCACGACUUGGUCAGUCUUCGCUUAGUCUUCUCACUUACCAAAUUCUAGUUCUUUCAAUUUCGUCACCCUCUUCGUCAGCAGUUAUUUUUCAAAUAAUGCUCGGAUUUUCAUUGGUACCGUCCCGAUCUUUCUCAACAGUAAAUAAAUUAGGAUAAUCCAGAAAUAAAAAAGAGAUAAAAUUAGUUAAUUGAAUUUUCGGUGUGUUCACUGUAAUUAAAUUCAAGGUGAAAAUAUUUCUUCACAACCCAGUCACAACCACCUAACCAAAUGUGUACUGUGUACAUGUCAAUAUUAAUGAUGCAAGGAAUGAAUGAUCGAGAUGUACACUUAAUUACUGAGAGAAUAGUUUCCCUUAAAUAUUUUUCCUAACUUGUGCGAGCUUAGUUAGGAUGCCAAAUAUUGUGAAACGAUGGGAGCACGAUUGAGAAAACUUAUGAGGGCCUAUUUAGCGUCGCUUUAUUUUGUGGCUCCUUGCUAACCUAACACAAUUUGAUAAGACACAAAAAAAGGCUUGCUUGGACAUCUGGACCUCGCUCGCACCCCAGUCACGCCGUGCGAGUGAACUAUAGCUAGAAGAUGCUGUGAAUUGUGAUAAUCGGACAACUAGCAAGCGAGCUAUGGAGGCUUGCAUGCUGCGGGGCUGGGCUGGGAUGCUCCCAGAGUCCAGUCCUCAGAUACGGAUGCGGGUGUGGAAAUAAAUAACAGUUCCAAAGGAAAUGCUUGUUACCUCCGUUGCGUUGAUUGAAGGACGCCAACGUCUUGGAGU
Molecule: long non-coding RNA, 2049 nt
Filed under: Sorghum bicolor (sorghum)
Lineage: Eukaryota; Viridiplantae; Streptophyta; Magnoliopsida; Poales; Poaceae
Description: long non-coding RNA (SBIC_LNC014740)
Source: RNAcentral